UGGGGGAUGGUGUAAUGGUAACACUGCGGUUUUUGGUACCGUCAUUCUAGGUUCGAGUCCUAGUCCCCCAGCCA
This 74-nucleotide transfer RNA is filed under the name Phenylobacterium sp. Its description in RNAcentral is "tRNA-Gln". It matches the Rfam family "tRNA". From Rfam's summary of the family: Transfer RNA (tRNA) molecules are approximately 80 nucleotides in length. Their secondary structure includes four short double-helical elements and three loops (D, anti-codon, and T loops). Further hydrogen bonds mediate the characteristic L-shaped molecular structure. tRNAs have two regions of fundamental functional importance: the anti-codon, which is responsible for specific mRNA codon recognition, and the 3' end, to which the tRNAs corresponding amino acid is attached (by aminoacyl-tRNA synthetases). tRNAs cope with the degeneracy of the genetic code in two manners: having more than one tRNA (with a specific anti-codon) for a particular amino acid; and 'wobble' base-pairing, i.e. permitting non-standard base-pairing at the 3rd anti-codon position. RNAcentral also lists the same sequence under 5 other names. Lineage: Bacteria; Pseudomonadati; Pseudomonadota; Alphaproteobacteria; Caulobacterales; Caulobacteraceae. The record is from RNAcentral.